Molecule: transfer RNA, 85 nt
Filed under: Candidatus Bathyarchaeota archaeon
Lineage: Archaea; Thermoproteati; Candidatus Bathyarchaeota
Description: tRNA-Ser
Rfam family: tRNA
About the family: Transfer RNA (tRNA) molecules are approximately 80 nucleotides in length. Their secondary structure includes four short double-helical elements and three loops (D, anti-codon, and T loops).
Source: RNAcentral
GCCGGGAUGGCGGAGUGGAUAACGCGCAGGCCUUGAGAGCCUGUGGACCUUUUGGUCCGCGUGGGUUCGAGUCCCACUCCCGGCG